UACAGAGGGGGCAAGCGUUGUUCGGAAUUACUGGGCGUAAAGGGCGCGUAGGCGGCCUGUUAAGUCGAACGUGAAAUCCCUGGGCUCAACCCAGGAACUGCGUCCGAUACUGGCAGGCUUGAAUUCGGGAGAGGGAUGUGGAAUUCCAGGUGUAGCGGUGAAAUGCGUAGAUAUCUGGAGGAACACCGGUGGCGAAGGCGGCAUCCUGGACCGAGAUUGACGCUGAGGCGCGAAAGCCAGGGGAGCAAACGGG
RNAcentral lists this ribosomal RNA (253 nucleotides) under uncultured bacterium. RNAcentral's name for it is "partial 16S ribosomal RNA". It matches the Rfam family "Bacterial small subunit ribosomal RNA", at positions 524 to 776 of the family's 1533-position model. The record is from RNAcentral.